RNAcentral lists this ribosomal RNA (429 nucleotides) under Acidobacteriota bacterium. Its description in RNAcentral is "Acidobacteria bacterium partial 16S ribosomal RNA". It matches the Rfam family "Bacterial small subunit ribosomal RNA", at positions 355 to 776 of the family's 1533-position model. The record is from RNAcentral. Lineage: Bacteria; Pseudomonadati; Acidobacteriota.
UGGGGAAUUUUGGACAAUGGGGGAAACCCUGAUCCAGCCAUCCCGCGUGUGCGAUGAUGGCCUUCGGGUUGUAAAGCACUUUUGUCAGGAAAGAAACGUCAUGGGUUAAUACCCCGUGAAACUGACGGUACCUGCAGAAUAAGCACCGGCUAACUACGUGCCAGCAGCCGCGGUAAUACGUAGGGUGCAAGCGUUACUCGGUAUUACUGGGCGUAAAGCGUGCGCAGGCGGUUCGGAAAGAAAGAUGUGAAAUCCCAGAGCUCAACUUUGGAACUGCAUUUGUAACUACCUGUCUAGAGUGUGUCAGAGGGAGGUGGAAUUCCGCGUGUAGCAGUGAAAUGCGUAGAUAUGCGGAGGAACACCGAUGGCGAAGGCAGCCUCCUGGGAUAACACUGACGCUCAUGCACGAAAGCGUGGGGAGCAAACAGG